CCUACGGGAGUCAUCCUUUCUUCCUCUUUUUCCCUUUCCUCCCGUCUGCCCCCGCCAUGCCGCGUGCAGGAAGACGGCUCUAUGAGUUGUAAACUUCUUUUGUACGAGGGUAAACGCAGAUACGCGUAUCUGUCUGAAAGUAUCUUACGAAUAAGGAUCGGCUAACUCCGUGCCAGCAGCCUCGGUAAUACGGAGGAUUCAAGCGUUAUCCGGAUUUAUUGGGUUUAAAGGGUGCGUAGGCGGUCGGAUAAGUUAGAGGUGAAAUCCCGAGGCUGAACUUCGGAAUUGCCUCUGAUACUGUUCGGCUAGAGAGUAGUUGUGGUAGGCGGAAUGUAUGGUGUAGCGGUGAAAUGCUUAGAGAUCAUACAGAACACCGAUUGCGAAGGCAGCUUACCAAGCUAACUCUGACGUUGAGGCACGAAAGCGUGGGGAGCAAACAGGAUUAGAUACCCUGGUAGUC
This 460-nucleotide ribosomal RNA is filed under the name uncultured bacterium. RNAcentral describes it as "partial 16S ribosomal RNA". It matches the Rfam family "Bacterial small subunit ribosomal RNA", at positions 338 to 795 of the family's 1533-position model. The record is from RNAcentral.